GGCGAACCGAGCGAACGUUAUUCGGAAUCACUGGGCUUAAAGGGCGCGUAGGCGGGCGGCCAAGUCAGGGGUGAAAGCCCCCAGCUCAACUGGGGAAGUGCCUCUGAUACUGGUCAUCUCGAGGGAGAUAGGGGCGUGCGGAACUUCCGGUGGAGCGGUGAAAUGCGUAGAUAUCGGAAGGAACACCGGUGGCGAAAGCGGCGCGCUGGAUCUCUUCUGACGCUGAGGCGCGAAAGCCAGGGGAGCGAACGGG
RNAcentral lists this ribosomal RNA (253 nucleotides) under uncultured bacterium. Its description in RNAcentral is "partial 16S ribosomal RNA". It matches the Rfam family "Bacterial small subunit ribosomal RNA", at positions 524 to 776 of the family's 1533-position model. The record is from RNAcentral.